UAAAUUUAAUUUAUUAAUUUAUUUUUUUUUAUUUGUUUUUUUUAUAAAAGUAAUUUACUUAUUUAUUGUUUUAGUAUUUAUUAAAAAUUAAUUUAUAGAUUUAUAGUUUAAUAGUAUUGUAAAAGAAAUUAUUAAAUUUAAAAAAGAAUUAUUUUAGUACCUUUUGUAUCAGGGUUGAUUAAAAUUUUUAAUUUUUUUUUAAUUUCUCAAAAUUUAUAGAGUUAAUUUUAUUAUUAAUUUAUUGUUUUACAAAUAUUUAAAAAAUAAUAUUAGUUUUGAAAUUUAAUUCGUUAUAUUAUAUUUAGUUAUUUAAGAUUUAAAUUUAAUUUAAAAUUUUAAAAGUUAUAUUAAUUUUAUUAAUAGAUAUUUUAAAUUUAGAUUAUUUUAGGGAUAAGCUUGAAAUUUUUAUAUAAUUAAUUAUUUAUUUUAAUAAUUUAUAGGAAUAGAAAUUUUUAUUUUAAGUUUGUAAAAAUUUAUUAUUUAUUUAAUUUUAAUUUAUUAUAUUUUUGUUUAUUUUUUAUAUUAAAUUUUAUUAAUAAAUAUUUUAUUAAUAGUAAUAAUGAUUAAAUUAGUAUAAUUUAUUUAUAUUUAUAAAUUAUGAAUUCGGCAAUAAUUAUUUUCAUCUGUUUAACAAAAACAUUGUAUUAAGUUUAAUUUAAUAUAGGAUCUGCUCAAUGAUUUAUUAAAUAGCUGCAGUAUUUUGACUGUGCAAAGGUAGCAUAAUAAUUAGUCUUUUAAUUGAGGACUUGAAUGAAAGAUUUGAUGAAAAAUAGACUUUAUUAUUUAUAUAAUUAAAAUUUUAUUUUUAAGUAAAAAAGCUUAAAUUAUUUAAAGGGACGAUAAGACCCUAUAAAACUUUAUAAAUUUUAUUUUUAAUUUUUUUGGAUUUAUAAAUAUUUUAUUAUUAAAAUUUAUUUUAUUGGGGUGAUAAAAAAAAUUAAUUAACUUUUUUUAAAUUUAACAUUAUUUAGUGAAUAUUUGAAUUAAAAUUUUUAAUUAAAGGAAAAAGUUACUUUAGGGAUAACAGCGUAAUUAAUUUUUUAAGUUCAAAUUUAAAAAUUAGUUUGCGACCUCGAUGUUGAAUUAAGAUUAAUCUUAGGUGCAAAAUUUUAAGUGUUAGGUCUGUUCGACCUUUAAAUUCUUACAUGAUUUGAGUUCAAACCGGUGUAAGCCAGGUUGGUUUCUAUCUUUUAAAAAUUAAUUUAUUUUAGUACGAAAGGAUUAAAUAAUUAAAUUAAAUUUUAUUUAAAUGAAUAAAAAUAAUUU
Molecule: ribosomal RNA, 1266 nt
Filed under: Aphis coreopsidis
Lineage: Eukaryota; Metazoa; Arthropoda; Insecta; Hemiptera; Aphididae
Description: 16S ribosomal RNA
Source: RNAcentral